AGAGUUUGAUCCUGGCUCAGAAUCAACGCUGGCGGCGCGCUUAACACAUGCAGGUCGCACGAGAAAGUGGAGCAAUCCAUGAGUAAAGUGGCGUACGGGUGAGUAACACGUGGAUCAUCUACCUCUUGGUGGGGAAUAACCCUGGGAAACCGGGGCUAAUACCGCAUAAGCCUGCAAAGGGAAAGCAGCAAUGCGCCGAGAGAGGAGUCCGCGGCCGAUUAGCUUGUUGGUAGGGUAAUGGCCUACCAAGGCAAUGAUCGGUAGCCGGCCUGAGAGGGCACACGGCCACACUGGCACUGAAACACGGGCCAGACUCCUACGGGAGGCAGCAGUGGGGAAUCUUGCACAAUGGGGGCAACCCUGAUGCAGCGACGCCGCGUGAGCGAUGAAGCCCUUCGGGGUGUAAAGCUCUUUCGGCAGGAACGAUAAUGGCGGUACCUGCAGAAGAAGCUGCGGCUAACUACGUGCCAGCAGCCGCGGUAAUACGUAGGCAGCAAGCGUUGUUCGGAGUUACUGGGCGUAAAGAGUGUGUAGGCGGUUCUCUAAGUUCGGUGUGAAAUCUCCCGGCUCAACUGGGAGGGUGCGCCGAAAACUGGAGGGCUUGAGUAUGGGAGGAGGAAAGCGGAAUU
Molecule: ribosomal RNA, 629 nt
Filed under: uncultured bacterium
Lineage: Bacteria
Description: bacterial SSU rRNA
Rfam family: Bacterial small subunit ribosomal RNA
Source: RNAcentral